AUGUGCCUGAUCCAGCCUCUUCGCUCAUUGGGAAGCCUUACCAAUACUGAUUUUAGUUGUAUGUCAAAAGUUUCUGAGUUGGAACAAAUCAUCUAUUACAUGCCCUUCAUGUUGUCAGAGUCUCCCAAAGAGCCCGAACAGCUGAGGAAGUUCUUCAUUGGAGGGCUGAGCUUUGAAACAGCCAAUGAGAGCCUGGGGAGCCAUUCUGAGCAAUGGGGAACGAUCCCCAACUGUGUGGUCAUGAGAGAUCCAAACACCAAGCACUCCAGGAGCUUUGGGUUUGUCACACACGCCGCUGUGGAGGAGGCGGACACAGACAUGAGUGCAAGGCCACGCAGGCGGAGGGAAGAGAGGUGGCGCCAGACAGCUGUCUCACGAGAAGAUUCUCAAAGACCAGGUGCCCACUUAACUGUGAAAAAGAUAUUUGUUGGUGGCAUUAAAGAAGACACUGAAGAACAUCACCUGAGAGAUUAUUUCGAACAUGGCAAGAAAAGGGGCUCUUCCUUUGUAACCUUUGACGACCAUGACUCUGUGGAUAAGAUUGUCAUCCAGAAAUACUGUACUGUGAGAGGCCACGGCUGUGAAGUUAGGAAAGCCCCGUCAGUGGAAGAGAUGGCGAGUGAUUCAUCAGCCAAAGAGGUCCAAGUGGUUCAGGAAGCUUUGGUGGUGGUUGUGGAGGUGGUUUCAGUGGGACCGACAACUUUAAUUGUAGAGGAAACUUCAGUGGUCCUAGUGGCUUGGGUGGCAGCCGUGGUGGUGGUGGAUACAGUGGCAGUGGCGAUGGCUAUCAUGGAUUUGGUAAUGAGGAAAGCAAUUUUGGAGGUGGUGAAACUACAAUGCUUUUGGCAAUUACAACCAUCAGUCUUCAAAUUUUGGACCCGCAAAGGGAGGAAACUUUGGAGGCAGAAGUUCUGGCCCCGAUGGUGGUGGAGGCCAAUACCUUGCCAAACCACAAAACCAAGGCAGCUAUGGCGGUUCCAGUAGCAGCAGCAGCUAUGGCAGUGGCAGAAGAUUUUAAUUAGGAAACAAAGCUUAGCAGGAGAGGAGAGCCAGAGAAGUGACAGGGAAGCUACAGGUUACAACAGAUUUGUGAACUCAGCCAAGCACAGUGGUGGCAGGGCCUAGCUGCUACAAAGAAGAUAUGAUUUAGACAAAUACUCACGAGUAUGGGCAAAAAACUCGAGGACUGUAUUUGUGACUAAUUGUAUAACAGGUUAUUUUAGUUCCUGUUCUGUGGAAAGUGUAAAGCAUUCCAAUAAAGGGUUUUAGUGUAGUUUUUUUUUUUUUUGCACGCAUGCUGUUGAUUGCUAAAUGUAAUAGUUUGAUCAUCACACUGAAUAAAUGUCUUUUUUUUUAAUGUGCUGUGUAAAGUUAGUCUACUCUGAAGCCAUCUUAGUAAAUUUCCCCAACGGUGUGAAGUUCGAAUUCCUUCAGGGUGAUGCCAGGUUCUAUUUGGAAUUUAUAUACAACCUGCUUGGGUGGAGAAGCCAUUGUCUUCAGAAACCUUGGUGUAGUUGAACCGAUAGCUACUGUUGUGACCUGAAGUUCACCAUUAAAAGGGAUUCCCCAAGCAAAAUCAUGGAAUCAUUG
Molecule: RNA transcript, 1590 nt
Organism: Cebus imitator (Panamanian white-faced capuchin)
Lineage: Eukaryota; Metazoa; Chordata; Mammalia; Primates; Cebidae
Gene name: heterogeneous nuclear ribonucleoprotein A1-like
Exons: 4
Source: RefSeq, a predicted model, not a curated record